AAUUUUACCUUCACCAUUUCUGGGUUGAUACUAGGGGUGGGGGCACUAUUGUAUCCUCUUGAUACAAUAUCGCAACAUUUAAUUUUACAAUAUGAGAACUAAUCUUUAAAGUCCAGAAUUGAUGUAAUUCAGCUGCUGGUAGAAACGAGGCAAAACUGUACUGCUUUCUUUCAGUAGAGGACGCAACAUAUUGUAGACCAAGGCUGUGUCCCAAUUCAAGCAUCAUCGUCAUUCUGAAGGCUCCUUGGAAUGUGGCCAAUGGAUGCAGCCUUAUUUUACUCAAAAACAAAAGGAUACAACAGGUGUAUCCUUUGGGAUCUCCAGGAUCAGGAUUGGCAACCCCUACUGUAUAGCACAGAGGAAUUUCAGGAAAUGCAAGUGAAUACAAAGGUAAAGACACCAAUUAACGUGUAACAAAUUGCAUAUCAUUAAUACUUUGAUGAAGUAUCACAAGAUCAGCCAAGAAUUAUUAUAUAGCCCGUCAAAUUCCAAUUUUCAUACAUCACCGCUAAUAAAUCAAGGCUGUGGGUUGCUUCUACAUAAAUAUUAAUUAUUAGUAUUAUAUAUUACUCAGGAAGGGCUCAUUUAUGUCCAGCACAUUGUAUUUUACAUCUUCCAUUCUCUGAACUAUAGUCUUAAAGACAAAGUGGAUUUCAAAGAUUCUUGGCCAAAAAAACAAACAAAAAACAAUAACAGGCUACAAUUCUUGGUAUAUUUCAUAAAUACAAUAAUGAAUUAAGGAAGCAAAAACAUCUGACUCAAAUAUAUCAUGCAGUUACAAAAACACUAUCAGAUUUCACAUUCAAUGUAUUUAUCGCUUUUAAUUGGGGAGUCACUGAGGUGGUCAUAAAGCCAAGUGGUGGCCCUUCCCCCAGCCACCACUUGGGGGUGACCUUGCAUAUUUCAACAUGAGGCAUAUCGCAAGGCGUUGUAUACAGACACAGGGGCGGACAGUGAUGGAAAUAUUCCUCAGAUUUUAUUUUUUUUUACUCUGAGGAGGUUAUGUUUUCACCCAUCUGUCUGUGAACAACUAACUCACAAUUUUUCAUAUAUCGUUAUGAAAUUUUUUUUUUAGAGGAUUCAUAUUCUGAAUCAUAACUGAUGCAAUUUUCAAGGUCAUAGGUCAAAGUAAAAAAAAAAAAAUCUUGUAAAA
Molecule: long non-coding RNA, 1153 nt
Organism: Thalassophryne amazonica
Lineage: Eukaryota; Metazoa; Chordata; Actinopteri; Batrachoidiformes; Batrachoididae
Exons: 2
Source: RefSeq, a predicted model, not a curated record